This 252-nucleotide ribosomal RNA is filed under the name uncultured bacterium. RNAcentral describes it as "partial 16S ribosomal RNA". It matches the Rfam family "Bacterial small subunit ribosomal RNA", at positions 525 to 776 of the family's 1533-position model. The record is from RNAcentral.
ACGGAGGGUCCUAGCGUUGUUCGGAAUUACUGGGCGUAAAGGGCGCGUAGGCGGCCUGUUAAGUCGGGUGUGAAAGCCCGGGGCUCAACCCCGGAACGGCAUCCGAGACUGGCGGGCUCGAGACCGGGAGAGGAGAGUGGAAUACCCAGUGUAGAGGUGAAAUUCGUAGAUAUUGGGUGGAACACCGGUGGCGAAAGCGGCUCUCUGGCCCGGUUCUGACGCUGAGGCGCGAAAGCGUGGGGAGCAAACAGG